This 545-nucleotide small RNA is filed under the name Cryptococcus neoformans H99. RNAcentral describes it as "Cryptococcus neoformans var. grubii H99 hypothetical RNA". The record is from RNAcentral. Lineage: Eukaryota; Fungi; Basidiomycota; Tremellomycetes; Tremellales; Cryptococcaceae.
UUUCGCCUACUAUAUAAGAAGCGGUUCGCAGAAGUUACUUUUGCCGUGGGCGAAAUAGCGUCGGGCCGGCGGGCAAGAGUGACUAUUAAUUACUUCGUUCUUUCUGCCCACAUCACUACUACGUACCUGCCAUCGACCCAUCGUACAACGAAGUUGAGAUCCAGAUAUCUUGGCAAAUUCCGAAACAACCUUCUUCUUAUUAGGAUUUGUCUUCCGGAUCUCAAAUCCUAGACGAUCACAUUUGAGCCAUGGAUGGCUAUGGAAAGCUUAUUCAUUAACAACGUAGCUGACCUUCCUCUUCUUCUCGUUUACCGUUCGCGUUAGGUCACUAUCUCUGCAAGUCUCCUUGUUUACAUAGUUACUUCCUUCAUUCAGACCCAUAUGAGACCCACGCAUGAAGAAGCGCAAGGAUGCUGCUAAACAUUUUAUAUCAUCCUCUUAAUUAAUAUACGAACACAGCGCAGGAAUAGUGUGCAUCGGUUCCUGGUGGCUCCAGGAUCUGGUCCGGCUCCUUAUCAUUUAUUUAAUUGCUGCUUGCUGACCGC